Molecule: ribosomal RNA, 460 nt
Filed under: uncultured bacterium
Lineage: Bacteria
Description: partial 16S ribosomal RNA
Rfam family: Bacterial small subunit ribosomal RNA
Source: RNAcentral
CCUACGGGAGGCAGCAGUGAGGAAUAUUGGUCAAUGGGCGUAAGCCUGAACCAGCCAAGUCGCGUGAGGGAUGAAGGUUCUAUGGAUCGUAAACCUCUUUUAUAAGGGAAUAAAGUGCGGGACGUGUCCCGUUUUGUAUGUACCUUAUGAAUAAGGAUCGGCUAACUCCGUGCCAGUAGCCGCGGUAAUACGGAUGAUCCGAGCGUUAUCCGGAUGUAUUGGGUUUAAAGGGUGCGUAGGCGGCCUUUUAAGUCAGCUGUGAAAGUCUGUGGCUCAACCAUAGAAUUGCCGUUGAAACUGGGAGGAUUGAGUAUGUUUGAGGCAGGCGGAAUGCGUGGUGUAGCGGUGAAAUGCUUAGAUAUCACGCAGAACCCCGAUUGCGAAGGCAGCCUGACAAGCCAUGACUGACGCUGAUGCACGAAAGCGUGGGGAUCAAACAGGAUUAGAUACCCUGGUAGUC